AGAUUGAACGCUGGCGGCAUGCCUUACACAUGCAAGUCGAACGGCAGCACGGGAGCAAUCCUGGUGGCGAGUGGCGAACGGGUGAGUAAUACAUCGGAACGUGCCCAAUCGUGGGGGAUAACGCAGCGAAAGCUGUGCUAAUACCGCAUAAGAUCUACGGAUGAAAGCAGGGGAUCGCAAGACCUUGCGCGAAUGGAGCGGCCGAUGGCAGAUUAGGUAGUUGGUGAGGUAAGCUCACCAGCCUUCGAUCUGUAGCUGGUCUGGAGAGGACACCAGCCACACGUGGGACUGGAGACCGACGGCCCAGACCUCCGUACGGGAGCAGCGAGGU
RNAcentral lists this ribosomal RNA (331 nucleotides) under uncultured soil bacterium. RNAcentral describes it as "bacterial SSU rRNA". It matches the Rfam family "Bacterial small subunit ribosomal RNA", at positions 26 to 360 of the family's 1533-position model. The record is from RNAcentral.